Molecule: unclassified non-coding RNA, 454 nt
Filed under: uncultured fungus
Lineage: Eukaryota; Fungi
Description: partial contains small subunit ribosomal RNA, internal transcribed spacer 1, and 5.8S ribosomal RNA
Rfam family: Eukaryotic small subunit ribosomal RNA (bases 1-73)
Source: RNAcentral
CCAAACUUGGUCAUUUAGAGGAAGUAAAAGUCGUAACAAGGUUUCCGUAGGUGAACCUGCGGAAGGAUCAUUACCAGCAUCAAGCGCGUAGGGCCCGCAAGGGCCUGAGCGCGCGUGGCCGGCCCGCAAGGGCUGGUCACCAUCAUCAUCAUCAUCACCAUGUGGCCACUGCGCAAGAGGUGUGUGGGGCGCGCAAAGCAGCAAGUUGUUGGCGAGGGAGGCGCGAGGAGAGGAGAGGGGGGGAUGCGUGCAGUGCAAGUCAUUGCACGCACCCACUCUACUCGCUUCCCCUCCACCACCACCACCACCACCACCGCUACUAUGGCGCCCAACCGCUCUUUACAUUCAUUACACGAACCAUCAUAUCAUCAUCCACAACAAAUAUCUAUAUGAUCUCGACACUGACACUUUUAACAAUGGAUCUCUAGGCUCUUGCAUCGAUGAAGAACGCAGC